UCUAUGGGAAAGUUGUAUUCCCCUUCCUUUUUAUACAAAUCCGUCUUUUUUUGUUCAUUUCUUUUUUAAGGGGGUAAUUCGGGAUGAUCCCUUCCAUUUGGCAUCUAAAAUCACUACACCAAAAACUAGAAUAAGAAACGCAAGAUAGAAAACGGUUAACUUAGAUAGGCGAUCUCUAGGAUUAUAUAGAACGCCUAUCUAAUUUAACCGUUCUAUAUGAUUUAUUUUAUUAUUUUUAUUAAAUUGUUAUUUUAUUAUAUAGAACGCAUUUCUUAUUUAACCGUUCUAUUUCAUAUAUCCAAUAUUUUACACUCAAAAAAAAAUCUAACAUACCAAAAGACUCAAAAUUCUAACCCUAACUCCUCUUUCCUCUUAAGAUAGCCGUCAUACACUAAUUCUCCUUCAUAACUUCCCCUCUCGUUUUCCUCUUCUCUCACUUCUUUCCUCCUAUGAGACUCUAACUCCUUUCUCUUCUACCUUCAUCCCUUAAUGUUCAAAAAACUACAAGCUGAAGCCCGAUUAAACUCCGAGCAUCGUCACUGAUGUUACAAAAUAUGCGGUGUGCAAAAGAUCAAUAUUCUCAAUGUUACAAAAGUUGCGGUGUGCGAAAAUUCGUCGACCUCUUCCUCUGUUUACAACUAGCGGCCUUACCCCAGCUCCGGUACAAUUAAUGCGAAAGAUUAAGCCAUUGAAUAUUUCUUUUGCUCUAUUUAUGGUCAUAAGUUGUUGCGGGUUGAUUGGUGUUUAACAUUAUGGAGGCGCUGCGGUGGUUGAGGUUGGUGGAAAUGCUGCGGUGGUUUAGGUUGGUGGAAGUGUUGAUGGUGGUUCAGGUUGGUGUUGAAGUGUCGUUCAGGUUGGUGUUGAAGUGUUGCUGGUGGUUCAAGUUGGUGGAAGACUGGAAGUGCCGCUGCGGUUGCUUUCGAAUUUCAAGGGAAAAUGAAGUUGGUGUUCUUCUAAAGUUGUAAACACAUUAAUAAUUAUUAAGUUAGUUUAGAGAAUUGUAUCAAAAUCUACUUGAAUUGUAAUUACAAUAAAGUUUUUUUUUUAAUUAA
Molecule: long non-coding RNA, 1052 nt
Organism: Chenopodium quinoa (quinoa)
Lineage: Eukaryota; Viridiplantae; Streptophyta; Magnoliopsida; Caryophyllales; Amaranthaceae
Exons: 2
Source: RefSeq, a predicted model, not a curated record